GUAACUAAUAAACUGACACUUCUCGUAGGACAAAAACAGUGACAUGUUGUCCUCUGGUCUGUGCUCUUCUCAGGAGUUGGAAAUGCUGAAGGAAGUGUCAGAAGCUUGUGAGUCCCUGAGCGAGGAGAAAAGCGGUUUCAAACACAGCCUCACUACUGGAGCCGAGGAGAGAAGCACACAUUACCUGAUCAACUGAAGAAGGUUAUGAGGUGAAUUGGAGACUUUCUCUCUCAGCUUGAUUCAUGAUGUCGUUUAGAGUGAUAAGACUCAUCAAAAUCACAGAGGAGGGUCUGAGCUAUGGUGGUGUUGAGACACAGACAACACAGCUUGGAAGUGUUUCACAGAAGUGUAAAGGACAGACAGAGAGGUCCCUCCCACUGAGUGUGAGGAUGUGGAAGAUAUUGGUAGUCCUGAUGUGAAAGCAGAGCUUCCCUCCCACCUCAGCAUCACUAAGUAUGUUAUGGAGCGCUGCAUUCAUCUGCUGUCUGAUCCCAGCCUCAGGCUCCGACUCAAGGUACUGGACGUGCUGGAGUUGUGCGUUCAGGUGCUGAGUGAGAGGGAAAAUGAACUGCUGCCUAUGGCUCAUCGCUGCUGGCCAGCACUCCUGCAGAGACUCACAGCCGAUGACCCAUUAGCAGUCCUCAGAGCCUUCAG
Molecule: long non-coding RNA, 654 nt
Organism: Pelmatolapia mariae (spotted tilapia)
Lineage: Eukaryota; Metazoa; Chordata; Actinopteri; Cichliformes; Cichlidae
Exons: 4
Source: RefSeq, a predicted model, not a curated record